CUAGGUGUAGGCCAGCUUGGUAGGUCGCUCCCCUCGGACGGGAGAAGUCGCAGGUUCAAAUCCUGUCACCUAGACCA
This 77-nucleotide transfer RNA is filed under the name Microbacterium phage Zooman. RNAcentral describes it as "tRNA-Pro". It matches the Rfam family "tRNA". Rfam says of the family: Transfer RNA (tRNA) molecules are approximately 80 nucleotides in length. Their secondary structure includes four short double-helical elements and three loops (D, anti-codon, and T loops). Further hydrogen bonds mediate the characteristic L-shaped molecular structure. tRNAs have two regions of fundamental functional importance: the anti-codon, which is responsible for specific mRNA codon recognition, and the 3' end, to which the tRNAs corresponding amino acid is attached (by aminoacyl-tRNA synthetases). tRNAs cope with the degeneracy of the genetic code in two manners: having more than one tRNA (with a specific anti-codon) for a particular amino acid; and 'wobble' base-pairing, i.e. permitting non-standard base-pairing at the 3rd anti-codon position. The record is from RNAcentral. Lineage: Duplodnaviria; Heunggongvirae; Uroviricota; Caudoviricetes.